GUGGCAUCUUUCUGAACCCCCUCGACCAUCCGAGCUUCCAUAAUAUCAUCCAGACUUCUCCGAUGAUGAGCUUCUCCGUUCAUCUACCAGGCCGCUCCAAAGGCUCUCUGGGCUUCACUAUCAGUCGAUCUUCUAUAAUGAACAACUAUUCUCCGAAUCCCUUCCAAACUUCCUCUGGCCACGGACGACCCUACUCUGAACUUCUUGCAGACUUCAUCACUAUCCGAACUUCUCCAACAA
Molecule: long non-coding RNA, 240 nt
Filed under: Elaeis guineensis (African oil palm)
Lineage: Eukaryota; Viridiplantae; Streptophyta; Magnoliopsida; Arecales; Arecaceae
Description: long non-coding RNA (EGUI_LNC051216)
Source: RNAcentral